UUAUAUAUAUAUAUAUAUAUAUACUCCUUGAGGCUGCCAAAAAUCCCAACUCUCUCUAUCUUUCUUUUAUCUUCAAACAGCCAUGGCUGCUGCAUUAGCAAGGCACUGCCUAACUCGUUUCUUCGAUUCAGACACCACCAAAUGCAGCAAUCACACUUAUUCCCUCCAUAACAAAUAUCAGGUAUGCACGCUCUCCAUGAACGGAUGCGAAGGAGACCCCAAGGUCCCGUUAGGCAGCAUCGAGACACGCACGUUGGCGGCGGUUCCAUCUCCGUCGAUGGCCAUGGACAGCCUUAACUCCGCCGUUAGAGAGCUGAAAUGCAACCCCCCUGCUUUUACCUCCGGCAUUAUUCGACUCCAGGUACCCAUACAGCAACAAAUUGAAGCAAUAGAGUGGCUCCAUGCUCAAGACCAGAUUCUUCCACGUUGCUUCUUCUCUGGUAGAAGAAGCAGAGCCCAUGGAAAUGGAUCCAAUCUCUUGAUGGACAUCACCAAUGGAAAUGGGCACUCCUCUUCUAACCGUAAUCUUGUCGGUGUUGCCGGUGUCGGAUCCGCCGUCUUCUUCCAACAACUUCAUCCUUUCUCAUAUCACGAUUGGAGGUCUAUCAAGAGAUUUUUGUCUUCAAAAUGCCCUUUGAUUCGUGCGUAUGGAGCAAUUCGUUUUGAUGCAAGGGCCGAGAUAUCACCUGAGUGGAAGGCAUUUGGUUCAUUUUACUUCAUGGUUCCUCAGGUGGAGUUUGAUGAGCUUGAAGGAAGUUCGAUGCUCGCCGUAACGAUUGCAUGGGACGAUGCCCUUUUGUGGACGUGGGACGAGGCCAUUGAUUCACUUGAAGCCACAAUGCAGCAGAUUGCUUUAGUUGUUGUAAAGUUGAAGAAAGAAGCUUCCGGAGAAUUCAUCCUCAGAAACAAUCAUAUUCCGAAUAAGACACAUUGGGAUAUUGCUGUAAAGAGAGCUUUGCAGAAAAUAAACUCAAACAGCUCACCGCUCACUAAGGUUGUGCUUGCCCGCAGCAGCAGGGUUUUAACUGCUACAAAUAUCGAUCCUAUAGCGUGGUUGGCAUGUCUGCAGGUUGAAGGUGAAAAUGCUUAUCAGUUUUGUCUCCAGCCACCAAAUGGACCAGCAUUUGUAGGAAAUACGCCAGAGCAACUAUUUCACAGAAAAUGGCUAAGCAUUAGUAGCGAGGCACUGGCAGGAACCCGCGCUAGAGGUGAAUCCAGAACUCUUGAUCUUCAAAUAGAGCAUGAUCUACUUUCCAGCCGCAAGGACCACCUGGAGUUUAUUAUAGUACGAGACAGCAUACAAAACAAACUAGAGUCUGUAUGUGAUAGAGUUGUCAUUGAGCCAAAGAAAACUGUACGAAAGCUUCGAAGAAUUCAACAUUUAUUCGCCCAGUUGGCUGGUAACCUGAGAAGGGAAGAUGAUGAGUUUGAAAUUUUGUCAUUUCUCCACCCAACUCCAGCAGUGUGUGGAUUUCCGACAGAAACUGCACGCCUUUUCAUUUCAGAAACUGAAAUGUUUGACCGAGGGAUGUAUGCCGGACCGGUUGGUUGGUUCGGAGGAGGAGAAAGUGAGUUUGCAGUUGGUAUAAGGUCAGCAUUAGUGGAAAAGGUGAGCUAAUAGUUUUAACAAUAACCUCUAUCAGUACAUACUUCACUUUUGAGUGAACAUACUAUUCCACAUCAAAGCUCUCCUAUCCCAAUGAUCUCGAACAAAAUUAUUAGCUUAUUAUACUUGUAGUGACUCAGGUUAAUCAUUUUAAACUGUAGCAAGAAAGCACUUAUACUGUUACCAAAAUAUUUGACUGUUUAAGUUGGUAGGAUUUCGGAGCAUUGAUAUACGCUGGAACAGGGAUAGUAGAAGGCAGCAAUCCCUCUUUAGAAUGGGAUGAAGUAGAACUCAAGACAUCUCAGUUCACCAAGUUGCUUCAACUUGAGGUUCCCUGGCAAU
Molecule: RNA transcript, 1948 nt
Organism: Hibiscus syriacus
Lineage: Eukaryota; Viridiplantae; Streptophyta; Magnoliopsida; Malvales; Malvaceae
Gene name: isochorismate synthase 2, chloroplastic-like
Exons: 15
Source: RefSeq, a predicted model, not a curated record